RNAcentral lists this ribosomal RNA (253 nucleotides) under uncultured bacterium. RNAcentral's name for it is "partial 16S ribosomal RNA". It matches the Rfam family "Bacterial small subunit ribosomal RNA", at positions 524 to 776 of the family's 1533-position model. The record is from RNAcentral.
UACGGGGGGGGCAAGCGUUGUUCGGAAUUACUGGGCGUAAAGGGCUCGUAGGCGGCCAACUAAGUCAGACGUGAAAUCCCCAGGCUCAACCUGGGAACUGCGUCUGAUACUGGAUGGCUUGAAUUCGGGAGAGGGAUGCAGAAUUCCAGGUGUAGCGGUGAAAUGCGUAGAUAUCGGGAGGAACACCAGUGGCGAAGGCGACUACCUGGCCUGUUCUUGACGCUGAGGCGCGAAAGCUAGGGGAGCAAACGGG